AUAAGAUCUUCUAGGGAUCCCUUCCCGUGUUUCUUGCUGAAGGAAGACGGCACCCACUGGGGUGUGCCCCCAGCAAAGCUGAACGACUUCUCCCAAACUCUUUGGAAAUGGGGUUAUCUCUGAUCCGGGAGGAACACCCAGCAUGGCAAGCUGACUAGAACACUUCAGAUUAGGGGUCUGGCUGGAGCUGCUGUGGUACCUAAGACCCCCACCUUGCAGGAGGCUUAGCUGAGCAUUUAAUUUGGAAAGAACUCACCAUUCCCUAGUCACUCAGGUAUGAUGUUUGGGCAUCUUCCCAGCCCAAAAACCCAGAG
RNAcentral lists this long non-coding RNA (314 nucleotides) under Chloebia gouldiae (Gouldian finch). RNAcentral's name for it is "Erythrura gouldiae (Gouldian finch) lncRNA (ENSEGOG00005000190.1)". Lineage: Eukaryota; Metazoa; Chordata; Aves; Passeriformes; Passeridae. The record is from RNAcentral.